This 253-nucleotide ribosomal RNA is filed under the name uncultured bacterium. Its description in RNAcentral is "partial 16S ribosomal RNA". It matches the Rfam family "Bacterial small subunit ribosomal RNA", at positions 524 to 776 of the family's 1533-position model. The record is from RNAcentral.
UACGUAGGGUGCGAGCGUUAAUCGGAAUUACUGGGCGUAAAGCGUGCGCAGGCGGUUCGUUGUGUCGGCGGUGAAAGCCCCGGGCUUAACCUGGGAAUGGCCGUUGAAACUGGCGAACUGGAGUGUGGCAGAGGGGGGUGGAAUUCCGCGUGUAGCAGUGAAAUGCGUAGAGAUGUGGAGGAACACCGAUGGCGAAGGCAGCCCCCUGGGCCAAUACUGACGCUCAUGCACGAAAGCGUGGGGAGCAAACAGG